This 444-nucleotide ribosomal RNA is filed under the name Paracoccus marcusii. RNAcentral describes it as "bacterial SSU rRNA". It matches the Rfam family "Bacterial small subunit ribosomal RNA", at positions 82 to 561 of the family's 1533-position model. The record is from RNAcentral. Lineage: Bacteria; Pseudomonadati; Pseudomonadota; Alphaproteobacteria; Rhodobacterales; Paracoccaceae.
ACCUUCGGGUCUAGCGGCGGACGGGUGAGUAACGCGUGGGAACGUGCCCUUCUCUACGGAAUAGCCCCGGGAAACUGGGAGUAAUACCGUAUACGCCCUUUGGGGGAAAGAUUUAUCGGAGAAGGAUCGGCCCGCGUUGGAUUAGGUAGUUGGUGGGGUAAUGGCCCACCAAGCCGACGAUCCAUAGCUGGUUUGAGAGGAUGAUCAGCCACACUGGGACUGAGACACGGCCCAGACUCCUACGGGAGGCAGCAGUGGGGAAUCUUAGACAAUGGGGGCAACCCUGAUCUAGCCAUGCCGCGUGAGUGAUGAAGGCCUUAGGGUUGUAAAGCUCUUUCAGCUGGGAAGAUAAUGACGGUACCAGCAGAAGAAGCCCCGGCUAACUCCGUGCCAGCAGCCGCGGUAAUACGGAGGGGGCUAGCGUUGUUCGGAAUUACUGGGCGU